RNAcentral lists this ribosomal RNA (484 nucleotides) under uncultured bacterium. RNAcentral's name for it is "partial 16S ribosomal RNA". It matches the Rfam family "Bacterial small subunit ribosomal RNA", at positions 30 to 507 of the family's 1533-position model. The record is from RNAcentral.
AUUGAACGCUGGCGGCAGGCCUAACACAUGCAAGUCGAGCGGAUGAAGGGAGCUUGCUCCUGGAUUCAGCGGCGGACGGGUGAGUAAUGCCUAGGAAUCUGCCUGGUAGUGGGGGAUAACGUCCGGAAACGGGCGCUAAUACCGCAUACGUCCUGAGGGAGAAAGUUGGGGAUCUUCGGACCUCACGCUAUCAGAUGAGCCUAGGUCGGAUUAGCUAGUUGGUGGGGUAAAGGCCUACCAAGGCGACGAUCCGUAACUGGUCUGAGAGGAUGAUCAGUCACACUGGAACUGAGACACGGUCCAGACUCCAACGGGAGGCAGCAGUGGGGAAUAUUGGACAAUGGGCGAAAGCCUGAUCCAGCCAUGCCGCGUGUGUGAAGAAGGUCUUCGGAUUGUAAAGCACUUUAAGUUGGGAGGAAGGGCAGUAAGUUAAUACCUUGCUGUUUUGACGUUACCAACAGAAUAAGCACCGGCUAACUUCGUG